UCAUCAUACCCGUGACGUCGCAUGCAGACUGACGCCAGGGUCUUCAGCAAGGAUCAAACCUUUCAAGACCAAAAGCACGGGCCGACACCACUUCUGCUGCCGGCCGCCUCCAGCUGGCGAGCCCCCCGGGGUCUGCGGGACUUGGCCGGCAGAGGGAGGCACGAGCAGUUUGACAGCCCGGCAGGAGCUAACGGGAAGGUGUGCACUGAAUGCUGAGGAUGGUUAGUCCUUUGGAGCAGGUACUCUAAAUAAGAUCCCCGAAAAUACACGUGGUGUGGAUCGGGUCCCCAGCUCCAGCUGCGUCGCUCCAGAAACUGGCUCCUCCUGCACCUUGGUCCUCGCUUAGCCCAGACAGGGCCAGACGCUGCCCAGGCUCACGGAGACACGCUCCUCUCGGCAGGAGCAAUACCAGCCAGGUUCAGAGCCUGAGGAGGCUUACAGGGAAGAAGCUGAGCGGAGCUCGUGUUGUCGUGGCUGAAGAACAAGGGACGGCGGGCGCCCGGCGGAGAUGCUGACGAGCCUUCUCUGCAGGCUGUGCGAUGGUGAAACGUGGCACGUAGCUCGGGAGGAGCGCGCGGGGCGGCUGCGGUGCCCUCGGUGCCUACCGAGGAGCUGCUCGCUGCAGGCCGGUGUGACAGCAGGACGUCCCGCGCUCUGCUCCGGUGCGCCCCAGGCUGUGGUCUACGUGAGGGCUGCCCAGGUCAUCGGUCAUCUGCAUUUGUACGCUUCUAUCGUUAAGCUUCUCCCACGUGCACAGUAGUUUAAUUCUUCUCUACAUGUCUACUGUACCUUUUCUUUUUUUUAGAAGUAUUAAGAAAACUCUAAGCUGUAAAGACUUUUUAAAAAAA
Non-coding RNA from Struthio camelus australis, 848 nucleotides. NCBI's taxonomy places the organism in Eukaryota, Metazoa, Chordata, Aves, Struthioniformes, Struthionidae. The record is from RefSeq and is a predicted model, not a curated record.